AAGACGGCCCUACGGGUUGUAAACUGCUUUUAUACCGGAAUAAACCUCUUUACGUGUAAGGAGCUGAAUGUACGGUAAGAAUAAGGAUCGGCUAACUCCGUGC
Molecule: ribosomal RNA, 103 nt
Filed under: uncultured bacterium
Lineage: Bacteria
Description: partial 16S ribosomal RNA
Source: RNAcentral